RNAcentral lists this ribosomal RNA (2904 nucleotides) under Escherichia coli. RNAcentral describes it as "23S ribosomal RNA". It matches the Rfam family "Bacterial large subunit ribosomal RNA". The record is from RNAcentral. Lineage: Bacteria; Pseudomonadati; Pseudomonadota; Gammaproteobacteria; Enterobacterales; Enterobacteriaceae.
GGUUAAGCGACUAAGCGUACACGGUGGAUGCCCUGGCAGUCAGAGGCGAUGAAGGACGUGCUAAUCUGCGAUAAGCGUCGGUAAGGUGAUAUGAACCGUUAUAACCGGCGAUUUCCGAAUGGGGAAACCCAGUGUGUUUCGACACACUAUCAUUAACUGAAUCCAUAGGUUAAUGAGGCGAACCGGGGGAACUGAAACAUCUAAGUACCCCGAGGAAAAGAAAUCAACCGAGAUUCCCCCAGUAGCGGCGAGCGAACGGGGAGCAGCCCAGAGCCUGAAUCAGUAUGUGUGUUAGUGGAAGCGUCUGGAAAGGCGCGCGAUACAGGGUGACAGCCCCGUACACAAAAAUGCACAUAUUGUGAGCUCGAUGAGUAGGGCGGGACACGUGGUAUCCUGUCUGAAUAUGGGGGGACCAUCCUCCAAGGCUAAAUACUCCUGACUGACCGAUAGUGAACCAGUACCGUGAGGGAAAGGCGAAAAGAACCCCGGCGAGGGGAGUGAAAAAGAACCUGAAACCGUGUACGUACAAGCAGUGGGAGCACGCUUAGGCGUGUGACUGCGUACCUUUUGUAUAAUGGGUCAGCGACUUAUAUUCUGUAGCAAGGUUAACCGAAUAGGGGAGCCGAAGGGAAACCGAGUCUUAACUGGGCGUUAAGUUGCAGGGUAUAGACCCGAAACCCGGUGAUCUAGCCAUGGGCAGGUUGAAGGUUGGGUAACACUAACUGGAGGACCGAACCGACUAAUGUUGAAAAAUUAGCGGAUGACUUGUGGCUGGGGGUGAAAGGCCAAUCAAACCGGGAGAUAGCUGGUUCUCCCCGAAAGCUAUUUAGGUAGCGCCUCGUGAAUUCAUCUCCGGGGGUAGAGCACUGUUUCGGCAAGGGGGUCAUCCCGACUUACCAACCCGAUGCAAACUGCGAAUACCGGAGAAUGUUAUCACGGGAGACACACGGCGGGUGCUAACGUCCGUCGUGAAGAGGGAAACAACCCAGACCGCCAGCUAAGGUCCCAAAGUCAUGGUUAAGUGGGAAACGAUGUGGGAAGGCCCAGACAGCCAGGAUGUUGGCUUAGAAGCAGCCAUCAUUUAAAGAAAGCGUAAUAGCUCACUGGUCGAGUCGGCCUGCGCGGAAGAUGUAACGGGGCUAAACCAUGCACCGAAGCUGCGGCAGCGACGCUUAUGCGUUGUUGGGUAGGGGAGCGUUCUGUAAGCCUGCGAAGGUGUGCUGUGAGGCAUGCUGGAGGUAUCAGAAGUGCGAAUGCUGACAUAAGUAACGAUAAAGCGGGUGAAAAGCCCGCUCGCCGGAAGACCAAGGGUUCCUGUCCAACGUUAAUCGGGGCAGGGUGAGUCGACCCCUAAGGCGAGGCCGAAAGGCGUAGUCGAUGGGAAACAGGUUAAUAUUCCUGUACUUGGUGUUACUGCGAAGGGGGGACGGAGAAGGCUAUGUUGGCCGGGCGACGGUUGUCCCGGUUUAAGCGUGUAGGCUGGUUUUCCAGGCAAAUCCGGAAAAUCAAGGCUGAGGCGUGAUGACGAGGCACUACGGUGCUGAAGCAACAAAUGCCCUGCUUCCAGGAAAAGCCUCUAAGCAUCAGGUAACAUCAAAUCGUACCCCAAACCGACACAGGUGGUCAGGUAGAGAAUACCAAGGCGCUUGAGAGAACUCGGGUGAAGGAACUAGGCAAAAUGGUGCCGUAACUUCGGGAGAAGGCACGCUGAUAUGUAGGUGAAGCGACUUGCUCAUGGAGCUGAAAUCAGUCGAAGAUACCAGCUGGCUGCAACUGUUUAUUAAAAACACAGCACUGUGCAAACACGAAAGUGGACGUAUACGGUGUGACGCCUGCCCGGUGCCGGAAGGUUAAUUGAUGGGGUCAGCGCAAGCGAAGCUCCUGAUCGAAGCCCCGGUAAACGGCGGCCGUAACUAUAACGGUCCUAAGGUAGCGAAAUUCCUUGUCGGGUAAGUUCCGACCUGCACGAAUGGCGUAAUGAUGGCCAGGCUGUCUCCACCCGAGACUCAGUGAAAUUGAACUCGCUGUGAAGAUGCAGUGUACCCGCGGCAAGACGGAAAGACCCCGUGAACCUUUACUAUAGCUUGACACUGAACAUUGAGCCUUGAUGUGUAGGAUAGGUGGGAGGCUUUGAAGUGUGGACGCCAGUCUGCAUGGAGCCGACCUUGAAAUACCACCCUUUAAUGUUUGAUGUUCUAACGUGGACCCGUGAACCGGGUUGCGGACAGUGUCUGGUGGGUAGUUUGACUGGGGCGGUCUCCUCCUAAAGAGUAACGGAGGAGCACGAAGGUUGGCUAAUCCUGGUCGGACAUCAGGAGGUUAGUGCAAUGGCAUAAGCCAGCUUGACUGCGAGCGUGACGGCGCGAGCAGGUGCGAAAGCAGGUCAUAGUGAUCCGGUGGUUCUGAAUGGAAGGGCCAUCGCUCAACGGAUAAAAGGUACUCCGGGGAUAACAGGCUGAUACCGCCCAAGAGUUCAUAUCGACGGCGGUGUUUGGCACCUCGAUGUCGGCUCAUCACAUCCUGGGGCUGAAGUAGGUCCCAAGGGUAUGGCUGUUCGCCAUUUAAAGUGGUACGCGAGCUGGGUUUAGAACGUCGUGAGACAGUUCGGUCCCUAUCUGCCGUGGGCGCUGGAGAACUGAGGGGGGCUGCUCCUAGUACGAGAGGACCGGAGUGGACGCAUCACUGGUGUUCGGGUUGUCAUGCCAAUGGCACUGCCCGGUAGCUAAAUGCGGAAGAGAUAAGUGCUGAAAGCAUCUAAGCACGAAACUUGCCCCGAGAUGAGUUCUCCCUGACUCCUUGAGAGUCCUGAAGGAACGUUGAAGACGACGACGUUGAUAGGCCGGGUGUGUAAGCGCAGCGAUGCGUUGAGCUAACCGGUACUAAUGAACCGUGAGGCUUAACCUU